CUUUAAGGAACUUGUCAUGAUCCAAGUAGGAAUAUCAUGGCAGCAGAGAACUGAAGCGCUGAGCCUGUAGCUCACUGAUCAGGUACUAGAAGUUGGGAGUACAGCAAACUGGCUAAAAUGCAGUUAUUUUCAGGAAAAUAGCCUCACUGAAGUACUGUUGGUUUUUGUUGUUUCUUUUUUUAAUCAGUACAUUUGACCCAUAUGAACAAUAAUGUGUGCAGGAGAGCGAGACUUUUUGUUAGGAGACAGAGCAAAGCUUCUGAGAGAUGAAUGCACGAUGGCAUUGGCCGCUGAUCCAAGUUAAGCAGCCUGACUCUCCUACCAGGAAAUACUUAGCAGAUGUCAGGUAGCUUCUUAACAUGUUAAUCCUUUACAUGAUAGGGGUAUUUAUUGCUUUUAGUUUGGGGAAAGUAUACUGUGUUUUUCCAGUCUAAUAUGCACACAGAAUGCAAAGCAUAACAAAGGUUUUGCCUAUGGGAGCUACAAGCAAUAACUCUGUAAUUAACAGCAUUACAUCUGGGUUGUGGACAUGGAACAGGUACUGUAGUCAGUCAGAGAAAGUCCAGCUAUUGCUAGUACAGCAGGGAUGGGUUUUUAAGCUUUGCCAGUACAGAUCUCUUUCCAUGAUAAAAACCAGUGUUUCUGAUGCUGCCUAUGAACACCCUUCCUUAGCUCCUUAUGACAGCCCGAUCAUUUCUGUACAGUAGCCCAGGAGAGGUUCAACAUUCACCUCGAUAUGCCUGUGCUGUUGUCCUGCCAUGCCAUCAGGAUCCAAUUUUGAUCUAACAACUGCUUAACAUUUAGACAAAAUAGACAAGAUUUGAUAUGGCACCUGGGACAGUGCCCAUCACAGGGCCGAACUGUGGAUCUGGGUCCAGUUGACGCCUCACACACCACACACGUUCCCUCAGCCCAGCUCUCACACCUUCUCCUUCCCAGAUGAGCAGAUUCCCUAUGGAUGGCUCAGGAAUCUCCAGUCCUCGCACCCCCAGGCAGCUGCCUCCAUCACAGAGGCCUUGCACCUGUAGCUGUUCCUUCUGGACUCAUAGAGAUACCGCCUGCAGCCAAAAGAGCUGUAUGUAGCCUCCAGUGUGCUCCUUGCACUGUUCUAAGACUCCAUGAGGCCUUGCUGAGAUCCCUCUGAUGCACUGCAGAUAUCUGGUUCAUAUAUUGCUCUCUAAUUUAUGCUUUCCCCUGCACUUUUUUUUCCAGAUGAGCUUUUUAGCAGCUACAUGGGUGUUACUGUGGUGACUGUAACCAGGCAAAAACACACCAUUCUUAUUGAGAUGGUUCUACAAUUGUGGACUUGGAUACGAUUAAGAGAUUUCUAAAGGCCUGCAGUAUAUUUUUUUCUUUUGCCCUUUUCUGCGAAACAGAAAGAGAUUUCUAAUGAAUUUCCAGUUACAAAGUAUGAAGUGGAAAUGUAUGAUUCAUCUUCAGAAGCAUGCGUGUAUUAGUUUAUACAUAAACACACGCAUAUUAUGCACACAAAUGUUGUGCCUUUUAGCUGGUUAGAGAUUUUGAAGAGCUUUUAACCAAGCAUAAUUGAGAUUUUUUGGAUGUUUCGGCUUUGCAUUUCUUUGUGCUUCAUUUGGUUUUCUCGUUAAAUUUGAUUUUAACUUAGAAUGUCCAAGGGUUAUAGUUUCUGGGCUUUGAAUAAUUACAUUAUCUCUGCAGUAUAUUUUACUGUAAAUCACUGCCGUGUACCCCUAACAUUGCCUCCAUCUUCAUUUUUCUUCCUGUGGUAUAAUGUAGUUUCCCUGCUCUGUGAGGUUUUUGAGGAGACAGCAGUCCGUGAUUCGCAGCAGGUGAGUGCCUUUCCAAAGAAAGGUGAGAAUGUGCUGCUGAAAGAUGUCAUUAUUGCUCUCAAAAACCAGAACGGAAAUGUAUCGUUUUAUCUUACUUUCCUAGAGAAACAAAACAGGACAAGUGUAGCAAUUAAUGAAAAAGAGAAUUGUAGUGCAAACCCAGAUUCUUAAUAUACUGAUAAGUGCAUAUUAAUCUCAGCAAUUAGCCAUGAGCUGCUAUUUUCCUUCCGUGUGCAGCUCUCUCUGAAAUUGUAGUGAUGUUAGUAAUGUAUACAAAACUGAUAAUCUGCUUCUCUAGGCUUGUUUAAGACAAAAAGACAUAAUCACCAAACCCCAUGUCUUAAUGUACCAAUUUUUGUUGACAUACAAGCUAACAGAACUGACAUGAACAUCUUCUAUAAUACAGCCUGCAUUCAGCCAACAGAGUCACAGAACGAAAGAGUAGGAGGCACCCUUUGAUCAGAUAGUUUGAAUGCUUUCCUAUUAAAACCAUUGCACUUUACCUGCUUUAUUUAUUGCCAGGCCUGGUAGCUUAUGUGUGACAGCAGUGGAUUCCCAGUAAGGCAUCAGACCUUCAUCUGGAGACUGGGGAGGAGAAUGCUGGGAUGGGGAAUUGUUUCAUUCAGCUCUUUGCUCCAGGUGUGAAGAGUCCUUUUCAUUACAGAUCCAUACAACUUACUUUGGCUUCCACUGCAGGCUUUAUAGAGAGGACAAGGAGCAGUUUAAUCUGGUUCACGAAGAGCACAGAUACCUGCUCUGAGUUCACUGUUGCUUUGACAGGGAAACUGUGACUGUGCUAUAAAAACAUCUGCAGCUCUGAAUUUUGUCUCCUCUGUCAGUAAUAUUUCUCUGAUGAGAAUUAGCAAAGGCAAAUCUGGAAGGAUGAAGAACCAGAGAGGAAAGGCAGAAAACUAGCAAUGGAGAGACAUAUAUGUCGCAUGACUCUUCUCUGGUAGGAAAGAUCUUGCACACAUACACAAAAGAAAAUCAAGUCUUCCUGUAAGUAUCGCAAUCUCUUUAAUUCUUUUCCCUAGUACUUGACAUAAUCUUUAUGUGUUUAAAAAUUAAAUGCGAAGUUGCAGGAAGGACUGCACAGUGGCUCCUCUGGGCCUGAAUCCAUUCUUUAUUGGGGCCUUCCCCUCUUUUUGCCAUCCUUUGUUUGCUCUGGUAAAACGAGCAAUUGUGUGGGACAUGAGCACAGUCCAGACCUCAUUCAAGUCUCCGUUUGUUCCCUGAAUGACCUGGCUGUGCAGAUCUCACUCUGCUCACGUCAGUGCAGAGGAAAAAGCUCCAGUCUUGAAGUGUAAGCACAAGGGAGAGAACUGAGUUUUCCCAUGCGUUGUUGCUGCCAUUGCGUCAUUCCAAGCUCAGGAUUUGGUGUCUCAGAAAAGAUAUCUUGUCAUUGUCUAUGUUCUUUCAAAUUUGAUCACUUUAACUUCCCCAACAGCAAAGGUUCUCUUUGAAAUCCUCAAUGUCCAUUUAUUGUUCUUGCUUCACAUUUGAAAUCAAGCAGGCAUGAAACAAAUUUAAUGUAGCUCCAACCUUCUUCCACCCAGCUUGGUAAACUGGUAUUGAUCCAUCUAAUGCAUCUAACAGGGACCAAACGGGCUGCACAAGGAGAUAUUUUCAUUCCGUUGUGUGAUUUUUUUCAGCACAAUGGAUUGGUUUCCUUUGGAAAGCUUGCUCCAGAUUGUAUACUGGAAGGUAUGAAUAUCAUUCAAUGUAGUAAAAGGAGGGAUGACCUCUUACAGAGUUCAUCACUGGGAUUUGCUCUGGAAAAAAGUCUGGAGAGGGUUUGGAGGAAGCUGACCCAGCAGCCACUCCCAGCACCAACCACUGACCAAGAGAUGCCUCUAUGAAGCCUAAUUCCUCACCUGGAGGAGAAGGGUGAGAACUCCCAUAUGACCAGCCCUGCACAGCACCAUGCGUUCUUCCACCCUUCCAGCUCAAAUAGGGUGACCUACAAAUACACCUAUUUUCCUUUCUUCAGUAAUUAAUCCAAGAGAAGUAACUAUCCGGAGCAGCAAACUGAGCACACCGUGAUGGCUCUUCCAUUCAGACUGUCAUAACCUGCUUGUGCCACAAAGCAUUAUUUCAUUUUAUCUGGAGGCAGCUGGACUGACAAUACAGUUACGCCAUUUCAGGAAGCUUUUAGAGAUCUGCAGUGUCAAGAAAGAACAAUUUGCGUUAUCUUCUUUAUUGUGUCUAUUACUUCUUCAAAAAAACAUCAUUUAACGUGCAAAUGGCAAAUAGAAGCAUUCUUGAAAUUUAUACUUGGUGCAGAUUUUAUGUCCUCUUCCUUCAAUCAUUGCUGAAAUUAGAAGGUUAAAAACAUUUUUG
Molecule: long non-coding RNA, 4148 nt
Organism: Gallus gallus (chicken)
Lineage: Eukaryota; Metazoa; Chordata; Aves; Galliformes; Phasianidae
Source: Ensembl